GCCUGUAUGGCUCAAGGAGUCAGGGUAGAGCGUGUCACCAGUGGUAAUCUCCGGGUCGAUGACAAGGUCGUCAGUUCGAUUCUGGCUGUGAGUA
Non-coding RNA from Achaetomium macrosporum, 94 nucleotides. The record is from the annotation of a GenBank genome assembly. NCBI's taxonomy places the organism in Eukaryota, Fungi, Ascomycota, Sordariomycetes, Sordariales, Chaetomiaceae.